AGAAAACCAAUGACAGAGCAAAGUAGCUUGGAAACACAUGAAAAGAGAAGAAAUGUCUUAGGCUGAAAGCAUUUCUACAUGAUGACCUUGUGAACGAACACUCAAUAGGUUUCAUUCUGAACUUUUAAACAGUAGGAAUGAACGUGAACAGGCGUUAACUGUUAUGAGUGGAAGCGAAAUUUGCUUCAAUUAGGGUGGCACCACGGGUAUAUAACUCUCGUCCCUUGU
Molecule: non-coding RNA, 228 nt
Filed under: Bacillus coahuilensis
Lineage: Bacteria; Bacillati; Bacillota; Bacilli; Caryophanales; Bacillaceae
Description: T-box sequence
Rfam family: T-box leader
About the family: Uncharged tRNA acts as the effector for transcription antitermination of genes in the T-box leader family.
Source: RNAcentral